UACGUAGGCGGUUUGUUUAGUCAGAUGUGAAAGCCCCGGGCUUAACCUGGGAACUGCAUUUGAAACUGGCAAGCUAGAAUAUGGUAGAGGGGGGUAGAAUUUCUAGUGUAGCGGUGAAAUGCGUAGAUAUUAGAAGGAAUACCAGUGGCGAAGGCGGCCCCCUGGACCAAUAUUGACGCUGAGGUACGAAAGCGUGGGUAGCGAACAGGAUUAGAUACCCUGGUAGUCC
This 229-nucleotide ribosomal RNA is filed under the name uncultured bacterium. Its description in RNAcentral is "partial 16S ribosomal RNA". It matches the Rfam family "Bacterial small subunit ribosomal RNA", at positions 568 to 796 of the family's 1533-position model. The record is from RNAcentral.